Molecule: ribosomal RNA, 894 nt
Filed under: Stachybotrys chartarum
Lineage: Eukaryota; Fungi; Ascomycota; Sordariomycetes; Hypocreales; Stachybotryaceae
Description: LSU rRNA
Rfam family: Eukaryotic large subunit ribosomal RNA
Source: RNAcentral
GCAUAUCAAUAAGCGGAGGAAAAGAAACCAACAGGGAUUGCCUUAGUAACGGCGAGUGAAGCGGCAACAGCUCAAAUUUGAAAUCUGGCCCCAGGCCCGAGUUGUAAUUUGCAGAGGAUGCUUUUGGCGCGGUGCCUUCCGAGUUCCCUGGAACGGGACGCCAUAGAGGGUGAGAGCCCCGUCUGGUUGGAUACCAAGCCUUUGUAAAGCUCCUUCGACGAGUCGAGUAGUUUGGGAAUGCUGCUCUAAAUGGGAGGUAUAUGUCUUCUAAAGCUAAAUACCGGCCAGAGACCGAUAGCGCACAAGUAGAGUGAUCGAAAGAUGAAAAGCACUUUGGAAAGAGAGUUAAACAGCACGUGAAAUUGUUAAAAGGGAAGCGUUUAUGACCAGACUUGGGCCGGUUAAUCAUCCAGCGUUCUCGCUGGUGCACUUUGCCGGUCCAGGCCAGCAUCAGUUCGCUGCGGGGGAUAAAGGCGUCGGGAAUGUGGCUCCUCUGGAGUGUUAUAGCCCUUCGCGCAAUACCCUGCGGUGGACUGAGGUUCGCGCAUCUGCAAGGAUGCUGGCGUAAUGGUCAUCAACGACCCGUCUUGAAACACGGACCAAGGAGUCGUCUUCGUAUGCGAGUGUUCGGGUGUAAAACCCCUACGCGUAAUGAAAGUGAACGCAGGUGAGAGCUUCGGCGCAUCAUCGACCGAUCCUGAUGUUCUCGGAUGGAUUUGAGUAAGAGCAUACGGGGCCGGACCCGAAAGAAGGUGAACUAUGCCUGUAUAGGGUGAAGCCAGAGGAAACUCUGGUGGAGGCUCGCAGCGGUUCUGACGUGCAAAUCGAUCGUCAAAUAUGGGCAUGGGGGCGAAAGACUAAUCGAACCUUCUAGUAGCUGGUUUCCGCCGAAGU